RNAcentral lists this ribosomal RNA (451 nucleotides) under uncultured bacterium. Its description in RNAcentral is "bacterial SSU rRNA". It matches the Rfam family "Bacterial small subunit ribosomal RNA", at positions 330 to 795 of the family's 1533-position model. The record is from RNAcentral.
GCCAGACUCCUACGGGAGGCAGCAGUGGGGAAUAUUGCACAAUGGGGGAAACCCUGAUGCAGCAACGCCGCGUGAGUGAAGAAGUCAUUCGUGAUGUAAAGCUCUAUCAGCAGGGAAGAAAGAAAUGACGGUACCUGACUAAGAAGCCCCGGCUAACUACGUGCCAGCAGCCGCGGUAAUACGUAGGGGGCAAGCGUUAUCCGGAUUUACUGGGUGUAAAGGGAGCGUAGACGGCGAUGCAAGUCUGAAGUGAAAGGCGGGGGCCCAACCCCCGGACUGCUUUGGAAACUGUAUAGCUGGAGUGCAGGAGAGGUAAGUGGAAUUCCUAGUGUAGCGGUGAAAUGCGUAGAUAUUAGGAGGAACACCAGUGGCGAAGGCGGCGUACUGGACUGUAACUGACGUUGAGGCUCGAAAGCGUGGGGAGCAAACAGGAUUAGAUACCCUUGUAUCC